Pogoniulus pusillus (Red-fronted tinkerbird) is the source of this 866-nucleotide long non-coding RNA. RefSeq lists it as uncharacterized. The record is from RefSeq and is a predicted model, not a curated record. The transcript has 3 exons. Lineage: Eukaryota; Metazoa; Chordata; Aves; Piciformes; Lybiidae.
AAAGCUCCUACUUCUGAGGCCGCGCUUUGUGAGGCUCGACUGCCACACGCUGCCCCAGGCGCGCAGCGCGAAAACGCCCGAAACGCCUCAGAACAGCAUUCCUACUGAAGAGAUCUAUGAGCAUGAGGUCCUCAGCAGCACACUGACAGAGAUCUGCAAAUGUGUGUGAUUUGUUGGUUUUUCAACAUCUUUAAUGAGGGAGCUACAGAAGCAGAGCAAUCUCUCCAGAGAAGCCUGGAAAAGAUUCAAAAGCAAAGAAUGCAAAAGAAGCAAAGGUGUAACAAAGACACAGACUUCAUGCACCUCAAUUAGCUAUGAGUAAGCUGAUGGAUGUCUUCAACCAUAGUUCUGGUAACACAUUUGUGGAAUUGUUUUUAAGCCUUAUCAGUCACUGUAUCCUUCCUACUCCUCAUAUCUUGCAUCCAAGACUCUGACAUUCUCUCCUCUUCCCUCAGCCACCUCUCUCCUGCUUCCCUGUUAGUGUGUUGGGAGCUUACAUUUUCCCAGUGCAACCUUUCUGCUUCUCAACCCACCAUGCUACUUUACAGAGCCAAAGAGAGGAUGAAGAACUUAAGAAGCAGGAUGUACAUGCUUCCCCUUGUUCACAGUGCUGUGCAGCUCCCACACAUGAUCCAGAGUAAGGCAGGAAUCAGCUUCCCUGCACAUGUGCCAUAAGAUAGGCACUACACAAGAAAGCCUGGGAAUGGCUAAACUUAAAUAGGGAUUCAAAAGGUCUUUUAGAAGUCCCCAUGGACUUAAAACUUGUCUUCAGCUCAUCAGAUUAACUUUUUGGUUUUUUUCCCCAACGUAACUUAUCACAAUUUUUCUGUUCAAAUUGGUCUAAAAUAAAGUGUAACUGCUGUAAA